CGAGAAGGCCAGGACGUCGCUGGAAUCGCAAGAUUCGGGAGGAAGGUCCGGACACCAUAUGGCAACAUAGCGGGUAACGCCCGUCCACCGUGAGGUGAGGACAAGUGCAACAGAAAGUAUGUACGGGCCUGCAAAGGCCGCUGUAGUGAAAUCAGGUAAACUCUAUGUGGUGCAAGCUCAAAUAGGUCUACGCUAAGGACGGCCAGUCCGAGUAGACGGGUAGAGUGCUCGAGGCCUGCAGCAAUGUAGGCCCUAGAUGAAUGACGCCCAAAUACAGAAUCCGGCCUACAGACUUUCUCGGUUU
Molecule: RNase P RNA, 304 nt
Filed under: Bdellovibrionales bacterium RIFOXYC1_FULL_39_130
Lineage: Bacteria; Pseudomonadati; Bdellovibrionota; Bdellovibrionia; Bdellovibrionales
Also listed under: 5 other names
Description: RNase P RNA component class A
Rfam family: Bacterial RNase P class A
About the family: Ribonuclease P (RNase P) is a ubiquitous endoribonuclease, found in archaea, bacteria and eukarya as well as chloroplasts and mitochondria. Its best characterised activity is the generation of mature 5'-ends of tRNAs by cleaving the 5'-leader elements of precursor-tRNAs.
Source: RNAcentral